This is a non-coding RNA of Prunus mume (Japanese apricot), 735 nucleotides long. The record is from RefSeq and is a predicted model, not a curated record. Lineage: Eukaryota; Viridiplantae; Streptophyta; Magnoliopsida; Rosales; Rosaceae.
CAAAUAUUACAUUUUGUUUCUGUUUCAUGCUUAGGUUAAGUUUUCUAGAGAAUUCAGGGUUUAGUCAUAUUUAUCUAGAAGCAUAUACCAAAUGGGAAGGAAUAACAAUGUGGCAAAUGGAUCAAAAGUUGCGGCUCAUGGAAUAAUCGUAGUGUAGCUAUAUUCUGUAACCUGUGUAUCAAGGAGGUGGAGGCAGGAAAUCGUCACGGCACUGUUUGAAGAAAGUGGGAUGGAAAAAAUGAAAGGUUAAAUCCACUAAAGAGACAGGAAAAUAGUAUGAUAAAACAGAAUGGAAAAACAAAUGGGAUGCUCCCAAAGAGCAAAGGAAAUUGUGGAAAGAACUAAUUGGGAAGGAAAUUGGCUUUGGGGGUGAAAUCCCAAACUUUGCACAAUUGACGCUUCUGAUGAAUGCUAGUGCAAUAAAAUUCGGGUAAAUAAUUGCGUAACAAGGUCAUUAGUCUUAAAUUGGACGAGCAGCUCGAUAGGAUGUUCAUAAACACGACGACGACUGGUGGACAUGCUUGGGCACCCAGUUCUGGUGUACUUCCAUCUGACAUUCCGGAGGCAUCUAAAGUUGACGACUUUCUGCAAGAAAGCAGUGGUGAUCUAGAUGAUCUGAUCGCAAUAGAAUAAAUCUACCAACACUAGUUUCCAUUAACAUGUAUUAUAGAGAAGCUAUUUGGAAGGGUUCCGGGGUACAUACAAUAUAACCUCAACCAAAUUUUUCACCCUUUC